This is a non-coding RNA of Mus caroli (Ryukyu mouse), 1341 nucleotides long. The record is from RefSeq and is a predicted model, not a curated record. NCBI's taxonomy places the organism in Eukaryota, Metazoa, Chordata, Mammalia, Rodentia, Muridae.
GCUUCACAGUUCCUGGAUGGAGAUGUGGAAAUGGAAAUGGUACCUNAUCAGCAUCCCCAUUGAGCCACCAGCCAAACUUUUGCUUUAUGACCCAAAAGCUUAUGCUCUCUUGGCCUAGAAGUUUUGACCCCCGAUAGUGGGGGUGCUUUGGUCAGGAGACAUCCCACUGAACUGGAAGCUAAGACUACUCUCUAGCCACAUUGGAAGCAACCAUAGAGUUAGNAGGGGUGGUUGACCCAGACCAAAUGAAAUUGGACUCUUUCCCCACAAUGGAGGUAAGGAAGAUCAUAUCAAACGCAAGAGAUCUGCACUGUGAUUAAAGCCAAUGGGAAACUACAACAACUCAANCCAGGUAGGAUGAUACAUAACCCAGACCUUUCAAGAGUGAAGGCAUUGGUCACUUCUCCAGGUAAAGGACCAAGAAUGCCUGAUUUGCUUGCUGAGGGUGAAGGGACUAGGGAACGGGUGUAGAAGAUAGUUAUAACUCCAGCUAAGGCUACGAAAUCUGUUAUAGAAAUGGGGAUUGUUAGUGCCAAGAAUGUUUCUGUNCCUAUUGUGUUCAGACUAUGUUUGAGCAGAUAGAUGCAUUUAUUAAGCAAAUAUCAGUAUUUUUGUUCUUUUUGUGUUCCUUUAUCCAGUAAUGUAAUGACUAAGAUGCUAUCAGUCGUUAAAUGUUCUUAAAUUUAUCUUGUCAUAGUUAAGCCAUAGGACAAUAGAAGACCACAUUCCUCCAGGGACCUUGCCAAUUUUUUGAGGAAAAUACAGUGCAUUUUCACUGGUAGUGAGAUAACUAUAUAACAUUAGUCUCAAGUAAGAAACACGUUUGGUAGAAGCCCCUCCCCUAGAGUGGGUGGCCCUUUUCAGUGGUAACCACCUACAUAAAGGAAGUCUUCUGGGGGAAACUCUGCNGUUUGCUGGCCUGCCUUCACUUCCUGCUGCUGGUGAGAGUGUUAAUCCUUGCUGCAGCUGUGCAUCCUCAUGACAUCAUACUCCAGUGUCUCUGAGAUCCAGUAGACACUGAAGAUCGGUAGCUCUCCAGGAGUCUUCAAGGUACCAGGUUUGGAAGUGCUGAGGCAUCUGGCUUUGUAACCUGAACAGCUCCCAGGUUCCAGCCAUUGUUGGACUGGGCUGUGUGGACCCAUCCAGCACACUCAGGUGAUAACAGGAGAUGGAGAAGUCAGAGGGAAGAAAGUCUGUUUCCCAGGCCACAGUGGAGAAUGGCAUGGAGAACCCAGGCCUCGAGCUCAUGGAAGGCGGAAAUCUUGAGCAAAGAAUCACACUGGAGGAAGUGACACAGGGGCUCAGCCUGGAGGAUGGCUUGGGGCAUUCCUCUCUCUGGAG